Molecule: long non-coding RNA, 2355 nt
Organism: Diospyros lotus (date-plum)
Lineage: Eukaryota; Viridiplantae; Streptophyta; Magnoliopsida; Ericales; Ebenaceae
Exons: 3
Source: RefSeq, a predicted model, not a curated record
CCCGCCUCUUUCCCCUGCAAAUCCCAAAUCCCUAAUUCCCAAAUCUCCAUUGCUAAAUCUCCCUCUGUGAUACUCCCGGCCAUCUCCCAUCCAUCGCUUUUGCUGCCUCAACGCUGUCGCCACCUCCUCGCUACCUCAAUGCCAUUGCCACCUCCAGCUUUAUCGCGACCUCCUCGCUGCCUCUACGCCCGCCGCCUCUGCCUCCUCGCCCACUUUAUCCAGGGUUCUUGUGCAAGGUCCUGGAUUAGGGCCAUGUUAUGGCCACGUUAUGGCUCUUGUAGGGCAAAGGUACCUGAUGGCAAUUUGUGGAAAUGAUGGCAAGCGACCCUUGGCUGAUGUGUGGGCACUUGACACAGCUACAAACAUGCAUGAACAUGAAUUGGACAUGCCAUGGAUGUGAAUGUGCUUUCACUAUAGUUUUUAUUACUUUUUUUUUCCAGUAAGUAUUUUUUUUUUUUUUUUACUUUGUUUUGGGGAUACAUUACAAAUAUAACACAUUUUGGGUAAAGUAUAAAAACAUACUGAUCCUAGUUUGACUCUAAUAUAAUUAUCCUUUUUAUGUUUAUGGAUUUAGUGCUGCAUUUAUGUUGGACUAACAUUCUUUUUAGUAGUUUGUACAUUAUCAUUAUUAUAUAUAAAGUGCCAUGUUCAUAUUAGAUUGGUGGGGUUAUUUCAAUAUUUUUAUUACUUUUUGGUUAUUAUAUUUAUGAACACUAUAAAUAAAAUGAAUAGUAUUAUUUUUUUCAUUGUUUCCAUAUCUCUAUUUAUUUUAACUUUUUUCAAAUAAUCAAAUUUCAUGUUCAUUGGCGUAUUCAUUUCUGUACCUCUAUCAUAUUGCUAUCUUGGUACUUUUAAUUUUAUACCGAUGUUGGGUCUUACCUCCCCUUCUUGAGCAAUUGUCAAAGUUAUUUUAUUUUGUCAAAACACCAAAUUGGGGCAAAUUGAUUCACAAAAAACAUAAAGAAAAAGAAAUUUUUCUCUUUGCUCUGCUAUGCUCUCUCUCUCUCACAUGGUAAACUGAAUUCAUGUGUUUGUUUAUUACAAGAUAUGGUUUUUAUACUAUUAUUUUUUAUUUUUUUGAGGAUAUUUUAAAUCGAAUAAGCUUAAGGGAAAAAUGAGAAAUAAGGCUACGUCACAUACUAACUUAAACAACAUAUCUUGUAAAGCACCAUUUACUCGUGCAUUCCCUCUAUUAAAUUCUGACAUAAAUUGUAUAGUUUUACUUUAUAAUAACUUAUAUUUUUAAAAAAAUAGGCUGAUCGAACCAUGGGGCAAUUACUUGAUGAUAUUUAAAUAGGUUGAGAAUUUAUUAACAAUGAUGUUUGUGGAACUAUAUGACGAGAAUAUCAUGACAUAAAAUUUUUAGUGACAGGCUGGGUGAGUUAUCUAUAAUUUUUAGUGAUGCUAUUUUCUUGAUAGACUCUCUUCGCCAAAAGUUUUUGGUGAUGAUAUUGUAUUGCAGUAAAAGAGUUUUUGCAAUGAGAUGCUUUUAUCACAAAAACUUUUUAUCACAAGUAUUUUACUAACCAUCACAGGAUAUUUUCUAUGAGGACUUCACUUUAUCACAAAUACCUUUUGGUGAUUAUGUGUUUUGUCACAAAAACUUUCUCAUAAUGAACAAUUUUGUCUUUUGGUGAGGAGAUAACGUCGUGAGGUAGUUUUGGUGAUGAGAUAAAAAAAAUUUGUGAGCAUUAAUGGUAGUCACAAAUAUGUUAUAGUGAUGGAAAUUUUUAUGCCAAUAGUGAUGAAUUAUUGGUGACUAGAUAUGAAGAGACAAUGAUCUUAGGUGAUGAGUUGGGCGAUGAGUUUUUUCGUCACCAAUAAUGCAUUUAUUGUGAUGAAAUAAUUAUUUCGUCACCAAAGAUAAUCGGCGGGGGACCUAUGGUGAUGAGUCCGUGACGAAUACUUGAUCAUCACUGAAAAUAUUGAGUGAUGAAAUUCUAUCUUUUUGUGACCACCUAAGGUCAUCACAGAAGGCCAAUUUUCUUGUAGUGCGAUUCGGUAUUCUUCUAUACUGCGAUGAAGUCUCGGUUUGCAUAUCUAAUGACACUUUUGCCACAAAUUUUCACACGAACUACUAAACCUAGCCUAUAAAAUUUUUCUAGGAAUUUUUGAUAUUUUUCUCUAUAUUUUUUUUUCUUAUUUUCUUUCUUUCUCUUUGUUAAAUCUCUCUCUAAGUCUCAAAUCUUUUUUCUUACAAUCUUUCUGUAGUUCUUGAGACCACCACACACUUACAGCAAACUACCCCUCAAGACUCACUGAUUAUAUCCCCAAACAAUAUACACACAAUCACUCGAUAGAAAGAACAAAAAUAGGAAUAGAACAUAGCAAGAAAACACAACAAGGGACAUAAGA